This 459-nucleotide ribosomal RNA is filed under the name uncultured bacterium. RNAcentral's name for it is "partial 16S ribosomal RNA". It matches the Rfam family "Bacterial small subunit ribosomal RNA", at positions 338 to 795 of the family's 1533-position model. The record is from RNAcentral.
CCUACGGGAGGCAGCAGUGAGGAAUAUUGGUCAAUGGGCGAGAGCCUGAACCAGCCAAGUCGCGUGAAGGAUGAAGGAUCUAUGGUUUGUAAACUUCUUUUAUAUGGGAAUAAAGUGAGGAACGUGUUCCUUUUUGUAUGUACCAUAUGAAUAAGCAUCGGCUAACUCCGUGCCAGCAGCCGCGGUAAUACGGAGGAUGCGAGCGUUAUCCGGAUUUAUUUGGUUUAAUGGGUGCGUAGGCGGAAUAUCAAGUCAGCGGUAAAAAUUCGGGGCUCAACCCCAUCCAGCCGUUGAAACUGGGGAUCUAGAGUGUGCGAGAGGUAUGCGGAAUGCGUGGUGUAGCGGUGAAAUGCAUAGAUAUCACGCAGAACCCCGAUUGCGAAGGCAGCAUACCGGUGCACAACUGACGCUCAGGCACGAAAGCGUGGGUAUCGAACAGGAUUAGAUACCCGAGUAGUC